GUCUCAGGCUAAAUCAAAUAAAUACUUACAAGUGAUGCUGUUGCAAGGUUAAAGAUUACAGAGAUAUAUGGAGAUUAAAGAGAGCCAUCAUUACCACUGCCCGCAUGGAGCACUCACUACUUCCUGAUUCACGACCCAUUUCUGACAGUGUUCCCUCCGUGUUAUCCACCGCUGCAGAUUUACACCGUCUCCACGCUGCACAGUUCCCUCUGGAUCCCUUGGAAUACACGAAAAGACUAUCAGCUUCAGAUAAGCCCCAUAUGACUUUCCCUUUCCCCGCCUGCUUUCCUGGAUAUUCCUGUCAUCUGUGUUUCACCAUUGUUGUUCAAUAAAACUUGCUGUUCAUAUCA
Molecule: long non-coding RNA, 350 nt
Organism: Ctenopharyngodon idella (grass carp)
Lineage: Eukaryota; Metazoa; Chordata; Actinopteri; Cypriniformes; Xenocyprididae
Exons: 2
Source: RefSeq, a predicted model, not a curated record